GCCUUAGUAACGGCGAGUGAAGCGGCAAUAGCUCAAAUUUGAAAUCUGUCUCUUUUAGAGUCCGAGUUGUAAUUUGUAGAGGAUGUUUCGGCUUACGCCCCGGUUUAAGUUCCUUGGAACAGGACGUCAUAGAGGGUGAGAAUCCCGUUUAUGGCCGGCGGCUUCCGCUAUGUGAAACUCCUUCGACGAGUCGAGUUGUUUGGGAAUGCAGCUCUAAAUGGGAGGUAAAUUUCUUCUAAAGCUAAAUACUAGCCAGAGACCGAUAGCGCACAAGUAGAGUGAUCGAAAGAUGAAAAGCACUUUGGAAAGAGAGUUAAAAAGUACGUGAAAUUGUUGAAAGGGAAGCGCUUGCGACUAGACUUGUCUUCAGUUGCUCCGCCGGUCCUUCGACCGGUGUAUUCUUCUGUUGUCAGGCCAGCAUUAGUUCGGGUGGUUGGAUAAAGGCUUUGGGAAUGUGACUCUCUUCGGGGAGUGUUAUAGCCCUUUGUGUAAUACAGCCUACCUGGACUAAGGACCGCGCUUCGGCUAGGAUGCUGGCGUAAUGGUCGUAAGCGGCCCGUCUUGAAACACGGACCAAGGAGUCUAACAUCUAUGCGAGUGUUUGGGUGUCAAACCCGUGCGCGUAAUGAAAGUGAACGGAGGUGGGAACCUUUUAGGUGCACCAUCGACCGAUCCUGAUGUCUUCGGAUGGAUUUGAGUAAGAGCAUAGCUGUUGGGACCCGAAAGAUGGUGAACUAUGCCUGAAUAGGGUGAAGCCAGAGGAAACUCUGGUGGAGGCUCGCAGCGGUUCUGACGUGCAAAUCGAUCGUCAAAUUUAGGCAUAGGGGCGAAA
This 832-nucleotide ribosomal RNA is filed under the name Helicoma guttulatum. RNAcentral's name for it is "partial large subunit ribosomal RNA". It matches the Rfam family "Eukaryotic large subunit ribosomal RNA", at positions 77 to 928 of the family's 3401-position model. Lineage: Eukaryota; Fungi; Ascomycota; Dothideomycetes; Tubeufiales; Tubeufiaceae. The record is from RNAcentral.